GUAUCCCGGCGACAUUCUGGUUCCGGCAUCCCCGGAGAAUAGGGAACGCGGUGCAAACCCGCGACUGCCCCCGCAACUGUGAGCGGCGAGCGUCAUCGGCAACAUGCCACUGGGUGAAAGCCCGGGAAGGCCCGAGCGACGCAACGACCCGCAAGUCAGGAGACCUGCCAGGAUGAUCACCCUCCC
Molecule: non-coding RNA, 186 nt
Filed under: Salipiger profundus
Lineage: Bacteria; Pseudomonadati; Pseudomonadota; Alphaproteobacteria; Rhodobacterales; Roseobacteraceae
Source: RNAcentral